RNAcentral lists this ribosomal RNA (494 nucleotides) under uncultured bacterium. Its description in RNAcentral is "partial 16S ribosomal RNA". It matches the Rfam family "Bacterial small subunit ribosomal RNA", at positions 28 to 523 of the family's 1533-position model. The record is from RNAcentral.
GACGAACGCUGGCGGCGUGCUUAACACAUGCAAGUCGAGCGAUGAACCUUUCAUGAAUUUUUCGGAAUGAUCAGAAGAGGAUUAGCGGCGGACGGGUGAGUAACGCGUGAGCAACCUGCCUUAAACAACGGGAAAGCCUCGGGAAACCGGGAUUAAUACCGUAUGAGACCCCGCCUUCACAUGAAGAAGAGGUUAAAGAUUUAUCGGUUUAAGAUGGGCUCGCGUCUGAUUAGCUAGUUGGUGAGAUAAAAGCCCACCAAGGCAACGAUCAGUAACCGGCUUGAGAGAGUGAACGGUCACAUUGGAACUGAGACACGGUCCAAACUCCUACGGGAGGCAGCAGUGGGGAAUAUUGCACAAUGGGGGAAACCCUGAUGCAGCGACGCCGCGUGAGCGAUGAAGGAAUUCGUUUCGUAAAGCUCUGUCCAAGGGGAAGAUAAUGACAGUACCCUUGGAGGAAGCCCCGGCUAAAUACGUGCCAGCCGCCGCCGUAA